Molecule: ribosomal RNA, 253 nt
Filed under: uncultured bacterium
Lineage: Bacteria
Description: partial 16S ribosomal RNA
Rfam family: Bacterial small subunit ribosomal RNA
Source: RNAcentral
UACAGAGGGUGCGAACGUUGCUCGGAAUUAUUGGGCGUAAAGCGAAUGUAGGCGGCUUUUCAAGUCACUUGUGAAAGCCCGGGGCCUAACCCCGGAAGUGCAAGUGAUACUGUUAAGCUUGAGUAUCAGAGAGGAUGUCAGAAUUCCUGGUGUAGUGGUGAAAUACGUAGAUAUCAGGAGGAAUACCGGUGGCGAAGGCGACACGCUGGGCUGUACCUGACGCUAAGACGCGACAGCAUGGGGAGCGAACGGG